Molecule: long non-coding RNA, 390 nt
Organism: Coregonus clupeaformis (lake whitefish)
Lineage: Eukaryota; Metazoa; Chordata; Actinopteri; Salmoniformes; Salmonidae
Exons: 4
Source: RefSeq, a predicted model, not a curated record
UGCUCAUUCAUUAGGUUGACGUAACAAACCAAUAUAACUUAGUUGUAUGUAUCCGUUUUCAACUCUCAAAGACUGUGGUGGAGAAUCCAACAAUGCAGACCAUGGAUAUUGAUGACGACACGUAUCCCAACAAGCCCAGUGUUACAUUUUCAGCUAAUUUUCAGUGGUGGAAGAGACCCUCUGGAGUUGCUGCAGUGUGUCUGGGGCUGCUGUGUGUUCUCCUACUGGCUGGGAUCAUAGGCCUGUCUGUCUACUGUGGAGUUAUUGGUCAUCACUACUCAACAGAGAGAGACCAACAGGCCAGUUACAGCCUUCUGACUAAAGAAGGAGAUCAGCAACCCACCAGUUAUAAUAACUUGACUAAAGAGGUAGACCAGCUACAGACCAGUU